CCUACGGGGGGCAGCAGUGGGGAAUAUUGGACAAUGGGGGCAACCCUGAUCCAGCCAUGCCGCGUGUGUGAAGAAGGCCCUCGGGUUGUAAAGCACUUUCAGUGAGGAAGAACGCCUGGUGGUUAAUACCCAUCAGGAAAGACAUCACUCACAGAAGAAGCACCGGCUAACUCCGUGCCAGCAGCCGCGGUAAUACGGAGGGUGCGAGCGUUAAUCGGAAUUACUGGGCGUAAAGCGCGCGUAGGUGGCUUGAUAAGCCGGUUGUGAAAGCCCUGGGCUCAACCUGGGAACGGCAUCCGGAACUGUCAAGCUAGAGUGCAGGAGAGGAAGGUAGAAUUCCCGGUGUAGCGGUGAAAUGCGUAGAGAUCGGGAGGAAUACCAGUGGCGAAGGCGGCCUUCUGGACUGACACUGACACUGAGGUGCGAAAGCGUGGGUAGCAAACAGGAUUAGAUACCCCAGUAGUC
Molecule: ribosomal RNA, 465 nt
Filed under: Vreelandella stevensii
Lineage: Bacteria; Pseudomonadati; Pseudomonadota; Gammaproteobacteria; Oceanospirillales; Halomonadaceae
Description: partial 16S ribosomal RNA
Rfam family: Bacterial small subunit ribosomal RNA
Source: RNAcentral